GAUGGGGACAACAAUUAACUGCUAAUUAACACCAACCAGACCUAAUCUUCUGGCCCCACC
Molecule: transfer RNA, 60 nt
Filed under: Gehyra marginata
Lineage: Eukaryota; Metazoa; Chordata; Lepidosauria; Squamata; Gekkonidae
Description: tRNA-Ser
Source: RNAcentral